RNAcentral lists this long non-coding RNA (2154 nucleotides) under Rosa chinensis. Its description in RNAcentral is "sRNA RchiOBHm_Chr7g0224531". Lineage: Eukaryota; Viridiplantae; Streptophyta; Magnoliopsida; Rosales; Rosaceae. The record is from RNAcentral.
UUUGGUUAAAAAGAAAAAAAUUCUGAAGAAAUGAAAACCCGCCAAAAUUCCUGCCGAAAUUUCAACUGACCCUCAUGGUGUCAUGCUCUAAAGUCUAAACCCAGUUUCCCUACUAUAUGCUAAAAUUAAACCCAGUUUCAACUGACCCUCAUGGUGUCAUGUUCUAAUAUUGGGCGUAGAAGGCGUCAGGUAGCCACCCUCGGUUUUGAUUUCAAUUCUUUGUUUGCUGGAAAUUAGGGUUUGAUAUCGGGGAUUGCUUGCUAUGUUUGUUACAAUAAUAGGGUUAGAGAUUUGAAAGAAAAUUAUUUGUAUAGAUUUUCGAUUCUCUGUUCUGGUUGCUAUUUGUUUCAACGCCAGAGGAUCUGUAUUUUGCUUUCGAUAUCCGAUUCCUUCCUUCUAUGUGUUAUGGGUGUGUGUUUUGCAGGUUACUGGCCCAUCAACUACCAAAUUGAACAUGUAAUGAUCCAAAAAUUCAUGAAAAACCUUCAAAUACAUAGUUCUUGCUUUGGGUGCUAAAUCUAUGUACUAAGUGAUAGAGACUUGGGGCUUUAAGGGAUGUUGGAUUCAGAGUAGUGAGAUAUCCGACCAUAAAGUUUCACUAGUUAACUUGCUCUUGCUGUACAUUUGUUUGGGUACUUCUUGUUCUUACAUUGGCAUAUUGAGAAUUUUGAGAUAAGGCUUGUUAUUAAGUGAUGCAAAAUAUGUUGGGCUGCAUUCUGGUCAGUCGAAAAUGGUGGUGCCUGAACAUCCAUGUAAAUAUUAUCAUCUUUAAGAAUUGGAUGAUUGACAGUUCAAGUGUGAAGAGUAACUUUCUAAGUGUACCUCUUGUUUUAUCAUCAACCCCGAUCCUAGAUAAACAAAGCUUUUACACAUUACCACUAGUUCAAAAUCCUCCCUUAGUCUUCUCUUUGUAUUGUCUCUAGCAUUUGAGAAUCGGGCAUUCCCUAGUUAUUUCCCUCGUCUUUAUUGGUUAUGCAAAUCCUCCCAAAAUUACGUACUUGAUAACUCGUCAUUUUGUAACCUUCUGGUUGUUUGGGUGAUAUAGAAGGGAGAAAACACAUGUUGCGUUUAAGUUACUGAAAUAAUUGAAGUAGUUCCUUUUGUUCCCUUGUAAUUUGGCAUGAUCGAUGGAUUAAGAUAUUCAAAUCAGCUAAGGCCAGAACUAUUAGCUUAGCCAAUUUUGAUUCGAAAGUUUUUUGAACUUAAACAUGGUUCUCUCUGAACUAUAAGCUUUAGACUUUUUUACCUUACAUCUGCUUCAUUCAUUUAGUUUAACUAUUCUUUGGCCAAGAGGAAUUUGAGUUCUGACUUUCUUUGCAAUAAAAUGCAUCUGAGCUUUACUACUUAUUACUUAAAUGUAAUUUAUCAAGCAAAUGGAGAUGAUCAAAGGGUGUAUAUAUUUACGAGGUAGAAUUGUUUUUCAUGUCCCUUUACCUCUUGUGAUGUUGUUUUGAGUAACUGUAUAAAUUUAGGGGAUGGGGAUAGUUUGCCUAACAUUCUUCUGGGAUGUGUAUAAGGUCGGUCAAUUUCUAAAACCUGGUUGUUAUAUUUGAUAGGAAACUUGUUCAUCAUAAUGGGAAUGUGAUUCAUGUCUACUUGAUGGACUAUUGUUCAUAAAUUGGUUUCAAAUGAGUUUAAUCAGGUCCUGCAUACUAAGGAUUAGCUGGAUAUGACUCCUAUUGAAUGCAAAGUUGACAUCUAAAGGUGGGCUUUAUCUCGAGGCUCUACCAACCCACCUGUCAUUGUUGUCUGACUAUUAUGAAAAGAUUUAACAAGGAAAAUGUGAUAACUGCAAUUUUGUUACGUCAUCUCUAAGUUUGAUGAUCUUUUCUUGUCAUUUAAAUCAUUGUGCUUGUUCUUCAAGUUGGAGGUUCGAGACAUACUGACUGUGUCAAUUAAUGUGAAUGCAUAUAUGUGCGGAGUGGAGCUUGGAACCUUGGUGGAUUUGGUUUUGCGAUCUCAACAGAUCAGGCCUCAGGCAAUAUGAAUGUUCCAGAAUUUCAUUUUGCAGAGUAUGAUGUUGAGGACUCUUUACUUCCACUUCAGCCGUAGCUGAAUUACACUGCUCCUGAACUUGCUAGGAGUAAAGCAUCUUCAGCCGGAUGUUCUUCUGAUAGUUUCAGCUUUGGAUGUCUUGCCUACCACUUGAUUGCA